UGGGGUUCAUUUGUGACGGUUGACACUCACUUGGGGUUUAUUUGUGAUGAUGGUUAUUAUCUUUGGGGUUCAUUUGUGACGGUUGUCACUCACUUGGGGUUCAUUUGUGACGGUUGUCACUCACUUGGGGUUCAUCUGUGACGUUUGUGGUGAUUAUUCACUUGGGGUUCAUCUUUGGGGUUCAUCUUUGGAUAUCUGUUUACUUUGUUGAGGUUCGUUCUGAGAACCUUUUUCUUUGGUGU
RNAcentral lists this long non-coding RNA (242 nucleotides) under Lathyrus oleraceus (garden pea). RNAcentral describes it as "Pisum sativum (pea) long non-coding RNA (PSAT_LNC031465)". The record is from RNAcentral. Lineage: Eukaryota; Viridiplantae; Streptophyta; Magnoliopsida; Fabales; Fabaceae.